UACGUAGGGUCCGAGCGUUGUCCGGAAUUACUGGGCGUAAAGAGCUCGUCGGUGGUUUGUCGCGUUGUUCGUGAAAACUCACAGCUCAACUGUGGGCGUGCGGGCGAUACGGGCAGACUGGAGUACUGCAGGGGAGACUGGAAUUCCUGGUGUAGCGGUGGAAUGCGCAGAUAUCAGGAGGAACACCGGUGGCGAAGGCGGGUCUCUGGGCAGUAACUGACGCUGAGGAGCGAAAGCGUGGGGAGCGAACAGG
This 253-nucleotide ribosomal RNA is filed under the name uncultured bacterium. RNAcentral's name for it is "partial 16S ribosomal RNA". It matches the Rfam family "Bacterial small subunit ribosomal RNA", at positions 524 to 776 of the family's 1533-position model. The record is from RNAcentral.